RNAcentral lists this ribosomal RNA (808 nucleotides) under uncultured bacterium. RNAcentral's name for it is "bacterial SSU rRNA". It matches the Rfam family "Bacterial small subunit ribosomal RNA", at positions 45 to 854 of the family's 1533-position model. The record is from RNAcentral.
UGCCUAUUCAUGCAAGUCGAACGAAGGUCUAGCUUGCUAGACCUUAGUGGCGAACGGGUGAGUAAUACAUAAAUAAUCUGCCCAUCUGCCUGGGAUAACUAUUGGAAACGAUAGCUAAUACCGGAUAGGUUGAUUGGAGGCAUCUCUGAUCAAUUAAAGUAGGAUUUCUACACAAAUGGAUGAGUUUAUGGCGCAUUAGUUAGUUGGUGGGGUAACGGCCUACCAAGACGAUGAUGCGUAGCCGACCUGAGAGGGUGACCGGCCACACUGGGACUGAGACACGGCCCAGACUCCUACGGGAGGCAGCAGUAGGGAAUUUUCGGCAAUGGGCGCAAGCCUGACCGAGCAACGCCGCGUGAGUGAUUAAGGCCUUCGGGUUGUAAAGCUCUGUUGUAAGGGAAGAACAAUCAGUAUAGGAAAUGAUACUGAUCUGACGGUACCUUACCAGAAAGCCACGGCUAACUACGUGCCAGCAGCCGCGGUAAUACGUAGGUGGCAAGCGUUAUCCGGAAUUAUUGGGCGUAAAGGGUGCGUAGGCGGUUUAUUAAGUCUAUGGUGAAAGUGCGGGGCUCAACCCCGUAUGGCCAUAGAAACUAGUAGACUUGAGUGCAGGAGAGGGCAAUGGAAUUCCAUGUGUAGCGGUAAAAUGCGUAGAUAUAUGGAGGAACACCAGUGGCGAAGGCGGUUGCCUGGCCUGUAACUGACGCUGAAGCACGAAAGCGUGGGGAGCAAAUAGGAUUAGAUACCCUAGUAGUCCACGCUGUAAACGAUGAAUACUAAGUGUUGGAGAAAUUCAGUGCUGCAGUUA